This 253-nucleotide ribosomal RNA is filed under the name uncultured bacterium. RNAcentral's name for it is "partial 16S ribosomal RNA". It matches the Rfam family "Bacterial small subunit ribosomal RNA", at positions 524 to 776 of the family's 1533-position model. The record is from RNAcentral.
UACGUAGGGUGCAAGCGUUGUCCGGAAUUAUUGGGCGUAAAGAGCUCGUAGGUGGCCUGUCGCGUCGGCUGUGAAAACUCGGGGCUCAACUCCGAGCUUGCAGUCGAUACGGGCAGGCUAGAGUUCGGCAGGGGAGACUGGAAUUCCUGGUGUAGCGGUGAAAUGCGCAGAUAUCAGGAGGAACACCGGUGGCGAAGGCGGAUCUCUGGGCCGAUACUGACGCUGAGGAGCGAAAGCGUGGGGAGCGAACAGG